Artibeus jamaicensis (Jamaican fruit-eating bat) is the source of this 102-nucleotide small nuclear RNA. Lineage: Eukaryota; Metazoa; Chordata; Mammalia; Chiroptera; Phyllostomidae. The record is from RefSeq and is a predicted model, not a curated record.
GUGCACUUCAGCAGCACGUAUACUGAAACUGGAAUGGUAGAGAGGUUAGCAUGGCUCCUGUGCAUGGAUGAUGCACAAGUUUGCAAAGCAUUCCAUAUUGCU